GGGAGCGUACUUUGGCUUUGAUAUGUCGAUAAUGGUUGUAUGUGCUGUAUCGAGACUUCUCUAUAACUCGUAAACUUUAGAGAACCCAUGUUGCAAAAACAACUGGAAAAGCUAUUCCUUCGCCUUAUGCGUUUGGUCUAGUUCCAGCAUUCGUCUAAUUUAGACCGAUCUGGUGUCCUUCCCUUUCGUAUCUGCGGAAAGAGUCUGGGCAAUAUAACAGCGGAAGUAGAUUAUUUUGUAGCAUAGCAAUCUAAUCGAAAUAAUUAUGCUAUACAUUUAUUGUUUUCGUUUGUUUUAGAUAAUAAAUGUGAAUAUAGAAUCUGCAAAUUUGUAUGAGCUUCGAAGAAAAACAAAUGUUUUAAAGAGCCGUACAUUAGUACGGUGAUGAAAAAACAUGAAGCUUUGACAAUGAAGGUCGCCAAAUUUGCAGAUUCUAUAAUAAGCAAACUACAUACAGUAGAUUCGUUCACCGUUCCGGUAUACACGAGGGUUCGAACCCCUCCGCUUCCACAA
This 513-nucleotide transfer-messenger RNA is filed under the name Candidatus Nomurabacteria bacterium. It matches the Rfam family "transfer-messenger RNA". From Rfam's summary of the family: Bacterial tmRNA, also known as 10Sa RNA or SsrA, is named for its dual tRNA and mRNA-like properties. Its role is to liberate the mRNA from a stalled ribosome. To accomplish this part of the tmRNA is used as a reading frame that ends in a translation stop signal. The record is from RNAcentral. Lineage: Bacteria; Candidatus Nomuraibacteriota.